Molecule: long non-coding RNA, 554 nt
Organism: Vidua macroura (Pin-tailed whydah)
Lineage: Eukaryota; Metazoa; Chordata; Aves; Passeriformes; Viduidae
Exons: 3
Source: RefSeq, a predicted model, not a curated record
GGUCAGGCACCCCAUGCAGGAAGUGAGUAGUACAGGAAAAAACAAGAAGCUCAUGGCUGAAGAUAGCACAGGUUUCAUGACUUACACCCCAAUGUAUCUGUGCUGCAGUGCGAGCCAGCAGGAGAAUAUUCACUGCUGGCAUAGUGACAGCUUAAGAAUGAUUUCUGUGACAGAUGGGCACUGCAGCAUCCAAGGGUUGCAAUCAUGGCAGUGCCUUUAUCAAACUGGUCUCCACUGGGAAACCACCUCCCUUUCACGUGAAAAAGAGCAUUGAGCCAUGGUAAAGAAGUGCUGCUAGUGGAUUGGGAGCUAGAUGCUUUGAAGGACUCAGAAGUAAUGCCAGCAGCACAAUUCUAGUAAGUUAAGAUCAUGACAAGAAGAAAGGAAGCUGCUCAGUAACUGAAGUCGUGUACUGACUACAUUGUGAGGAGUUUUUCCUGCAAAUUUUCCUGCAAUGUACUUUUCUUCAAAAGGUGCCAAUAAUCUUUUCUUUGCUACAAGGUGGAGUAGCAAGCAUUGCUCAAGUACAAUUAGUGCCCAAACCCCUGUCUGGA